This 253-nucleotide ribosomal RNA is filed under the name uncultured bacterium. Its description in RNAcentral is "partial 16S ribosomal RNA". It matches the Rfam family "Bacterial small subunit ribosomal RNA", at positions 524 to 776 of the family's 1533-position model. The record is from RNAcentral.
UACAGAGGGUGCGAGCGUUGUCCGGAAUCACUGGGCGUAAAGGGCGCGUAGGCGGCGCGGGAAGUCAUCGGUGAAAGUUCAGGGCUCAACUCUGAAUCGGCCGGUGAUACUCUCGUGCUCGAGCACUGUAGAGGCAGGUGGAAUUCCGGGUGUAGCGGUGGAAUGCGUAGAGAUCCGGAAGAACACCGGUGGCGAAGGCGGCCUGCUGGGCAGUAGCUGACGCUGAUGCGCGACAGCGUGGGGAGCAAACAGG